RNAcentral lists this ribosomal RNA (1634 nucleotides) under Yarrowia lipolytica. RNAcentral describes it as "SSU rRNA". It matches the Rfam family "Eukaryotic small subunit ribosomal RNA". The record is from RNAcentral. Lineage: Eukaryota; Fungi; Ascomycota; Dipodascomycetes; Dipodascales.
AUCUGGUUGAUCCUGCCGGUAGUCUAUGUAUCUCCAAGACUAUUAAUGCAUGUCUAAGUAUAACAAUUAUACGGUGAGCUGCGAACGGCUCAUUAAAUCAGUUAUCGUUUAUUUGAUAGUUUCUGCUUGGAUAACCGUGAUAACUUCAGAACUAAUGCGACUGGCCAACUUCUGGCGUAUAUAUUAGAUACAAACCAACAGUAUGGUGAUUCAUAAUAUCUUGUCCGAACCGAUCUUCGGUGUAUCAUUCAAAUUUCUGCUAUCAACUGUCGAUGGUAGGAUCGUGGCCUACCAUGGUAACAACGGGUAACGAGGGAAUCAGGGUUCUAUUCGGAGAGGGAGCCUGAGGCGGCUACCAUCCAAAAAGGAAGGCAGCAGGCGCGCAAAUUGCGAAAUCCUGACACGGUGAAGUGACAAUAUAUAACGAUCAGGAGCUCUUUGAGUUUCAGGUGGAAUGAAGUCUAAUUUAAACACCUUGUAACGAGGAGGAACAAUUGGAGGGGAGCAGAAUCUGGUGCCAGCUUAUUGCGGUAAUUCAGCUCAAUAGCGUAUUAAUGUUGUUGCAGUUAAAAGCUCGUAGUUGAAAUUGGGCGGGCUAUUGGUUGAAACCGCUUCAGAACUUCUUCCAGUUACUUUGAAAAAAUUAAGUGUUCAACGCAGGUUUCGCCUGAAUAUAUUAGCAUGGAAUAACAUAACACGACGAGGGUCCAUUUUGUUGGCUUGCCAAGAGCCGUAUUGAUUAAUAGGGACAGUCGGGGGCGUCAGUAUUGUGUUGUCAGAGGUGAAAUUCUUGGUUACACAAGACUAACUUCUGCGAAGGCAUUCGCCAGGAUAUUCAUUAAUCAGAACAGAAAGUUGAGGGAUCAAAGAUGAUCCAGAUACCGUCGUAGUCUUAACCAUCAACUAUGCCGACUGAGAAUGGGUACCGCUUAUACGGUAUCCGCGCUCUCUGAAAUCAAAGUGAUCAGGUUCUGGGGGAGUAUGGUCGCAAGGCUGAAACUUAAAAUUGACGGAAGGGCUGCACCAGGGUGGAGCCUGCGGCUUAAUUGACUCAACACGGGGAAACUCACCAGGUCCAGACACAAUAAGGAUUGACAGAUUGAUAGCUCUUUCUUGAUUUUUGUGGGUGGUGGUGCAUGGCCGUUCUUAGUUGGUGGGUGAUUUGUCUGCUUAAUUGCGAUAACGAACGAGACCUUGACCUAUAAAUAAUGGCUCUACUUGCGGUGCAGGUAGCUAACUGUAGAGGGACUAUCUAUUACAAGUAGAUGGAGUUCGAGACAUGUGCUGGGUCUGUGAUGCCCAUGUAGACGUUCUGGGCCGCACGCGCUACACUGACGAACCAGCGAGUCGACCAAGCCAGAAGGGCUGGGCAAUCUUGUGAAACUCCGUGCUGGGGAUAGAGGCAUUGCAAUUGUGCUCUUCAGCGAGGAAUUCCUGAAGUAGCGCAAGUCAUCAGCUUGCGUUGAUUACGUCCCUGCCGCUGUACACACACCAUACGUCGCUACUACCGAUUGAAUGGUUUGGUAGGACGGGAGGGCGAGAUGAGAGAACCCUUUUGAACAUCAAACUUGGUAGGCGGUGUUUGAAGUAAAGUCGUAACAAGGUUUCGUAGGUGAACCUGCGGAAGAUCGUAU